CCGACCCCGGUAGCACCGUGGGCAAAGCGUUCACGAUGCGAUCGUGUAGUCUCAGGUUCGAAUCUUGGCUGGAAUGGGCAUGGCUGUUUGUGUUUGUCAUACAAAAAACUCUCGUGGUUCGGAACCCACGUUAAACUGAAGAAGAAGAAGAAGAAGUAACUGAGGAGUCCAACAGAGGGAUUCUAAAAUCACGACUCGAUCUCGAUACUACGAUCACGACCUCCAAUUCGAUCGUGAUUCAGUCGUGACGAGAAGAAGGGUGAUUCCAAAUUUCAAUUGUCGGCUAAACACAUUUUAUUCGAUUUGAUUUUAAGUUUGCUGGGAUAUAUUUAGAUUUUUUCCUAAUAUUUGACAUAUAGAAACGUCAAUAAUUAAUUGUGUAUAUAAACAACCAUAAACAUAAAUAAUAAAUCUAUUAAUAAU
Long non-coding RNA from Anthonomus grandis grandis, 423 nucleotides. RefSeq lists it as uncharacterized. The transcript is spliced from 2 exons. The record is from RefSeq and is a predicted model, not a curated record. NCBI's taxonomy places the organism in Eukaryota, Metazoa, Arthropoda, Insecta, Coleoptera, Curculionidae.